AUUCCCCAUUAAUUAAAUCCCACAUUUCCCAUUAAUUAAAUCCUAUAUUCCCUAUAAAAUAAAUCCAAUUAUUCCCUAUUAAAUAAAUCCAAUUAUUCCCUAUUAAAUCCAAUUACUAAUAAUAAAUAAUAAUAAAUAAAAAAUCCCAUUUUCCUUUUCAAUAAAUCCCAAAAUUCCCAAUUUUCACCUUUUUUCCCCUUCAUUUUAAUCUCCAAAUCCCCCCUAAAAAAAUAAACUAAAAAUCCAAACAAAACCUCAAACUGGAAUUUUCCCUUUUUUCCAAUUUAUUCCAAAAAAAAAAAAAAUUCCGAGGAAGAAAAAAAAGACAAAGAAUUCCCAGAAAUUCCAUUGGAGGGGGAUUUAUUUCUGCAGGAAAAGAGCCGGGAAUUUACAGCUUUUUUUUGGGAAUUUUCGCACGGAUCCAAGCUGGGAUUUUUGGGAUUUCUCCUUUUUUUUUUUUUUCCCCCACCAAACAGAAGCAAAAACAACAACAAAACCAAAAAAUCCCGGAAAAAAACCACCCCAAAUCCAACUUUUUUUUUCACCCCAAACUUCAAACCCGGCGGGAAAAGGGAAUUCCGACCAUUUUUUCCCAAUUUCCCGGGAAUUCACCCCAAAAAUCCGUCGGUUUUUUAAUGGGAAGUCCAUGCGAUGGUGGCGGGAAAUUCCCGGGAUGAUCCAGACGGGCGAACGGACAGCUCAUGUUUGCUGUUAAUUAAUUAAUUAAUGAGUAAUUAAUUAAUUAAUUGGCGGGUCGUUCUGGUUGGGUUUUUGGGGAGGAAAGGGCGGGAAUGAGUUAAAUAAACAUGCGGGGGUGGGGGAGGGGCUGGGCCAGGCGGGGCCGCGGCGGUGGUGACGUCAUCGGUGACGUCAUCGUCUUCAUCAUCGUCAUCGGUGACGUCAUCGUCUUCGUCAUCGGUGUCAUCGUUGUCUUCUUCAUCAUCGGUGUCAUCGUCGUCUUCAUCGUCAUUGUCAUCAUCAUCAUCAUGGUCGUCGUUGUCGGUCAUUGUCACCAUUGUUGGGUCAUUGUCAUUGUCACCAUUGUUGGGUCAUUGUCAUGGUCACCAUCGUUGGCCAUGGUCAUGGUCACCAUUGUUGGUCAUCGUCAUCAUUGUUGGGUCAUCGUCAUUGUCACCAUCGUUGGUCAUGGUCAUGGUCACCAUUGUUGGUCAUGGUCACCAUUGUUGGUCAUUGUCAUCAUUGUUGGGUCAUCGUCAUUGUCACCAUCGUUGGGUCAUCAUCACUGUCACCACUGUUG
Molecule: long non-coding RNA, 1258 nt
Filed under: Chloebia gouldiae (Gouldian finch)
Lineage: Eukaryota; Metazoa; Chordata; Aves; Passeriformes; Passeridae
Description: Erythrura gouldiae (Gouldian finch) lncRNA (ENSEGOG00005010316.1)
Source: RNAcentral